RNAcentral lists this ribosomal RNA (506 nucleotides) under uncultured bacterium. RNAcentral describes it as "partial 16S ribosomal RNA". It matches the Rfam family "Bacterial small subunit ribosomal RNA", at positions 29 to 523 of the family's 1533-position model. The record is from RNAcentral.
AACGAACGCUGGCGGCAGGCUUAACACAUGCAAGUCGAACGGUAGCACAGAGGAGCUUGCUCCUUGGGUGACGAGUGGCGGACGGGUGAGUAAUGUCUGGGAAACUGCCCGAUGGAGGGGGAUAACUACUGGAAACGGUAGCUAAUACCGCAUAACGUCUUCGGACCAAAGUGGGGGACCUUCGGGCCUCACACCAUCGGAUGUGCCCAGAUGGGAUUAGCUAGUAGGUGGGGUAAUGGCUCACCUAGGCGACGAUCCCUAGCUGGUCUGAGGGGAGGACCAGCCACACUGGAACUGAGACACGGUCCAGACUCCUACGGGAGGCAGCAGUGGGGAAUAUUGCACAGUGGGCGCAAGCCUGAUGCAGCCAUGCCGCGUGUAUGAAGAAGGCCUUCGGGUUGUAAAGUACUUUCAGCGGGGAGGAAGGCGUUAAGGUUAGUAACCUUGGCGAUUGACGUUACCCGCAGAAGAAGCACCGGUUAACUCCGUGCCAGCAGCCGCCGCAG